Molecule: ribosomal RNA, 497 nt
Filed under: uncultured bacterium
Lineage: Bacteria
Description: partial 16S ribosomal RNA
Rfam family: Bacterial small subunit ribosomal RNA
Source: RNAcentral
GAUGAACGCUGGCGGCGUGCCUAAUACAUGCAAGUCGAGCGAACAGAUGAGGAGCUUGCUCCUCUGACGUUAGCGGCGGACGGGUGAGUAACACGUGGAUAACCUACCUAUAAGACUGGGAUAACUUCGGGAAACCGGAGCUAAUACCGGAUAAUAUAUUGAACCGCAUGGUUCAAUAGUGAAAGACAGUUUUGCUGUCACUUAUAGAUGGAUCCGCGCCGCAUUAGCUAGUUGGUAAGGUAACGGCUUACCAAGGCGACGAUGCGUAGCCGACCUGAGAGGGUGAUCGGCCACACUGGAACUGAGACACGGUCCAGACUCCUACGGGAGGCAGCAGUAGGGAAUCUUCCGCAAAGGGCGAAAGCCUGACGGAGCAACGCCGCGUGAGUGAUGAAGGUCUUCGGAUCGUAAAACUCUGUUAUUAGGGAAGAACAAAUGUGUAAGUAACUAUGCACGUCUUGACGGUACCUAAUCAGAAAGCCACGGCUAACUACGUG